RNAcentral lists this ribosomal RNA (660 nucleotides) under uncultured bacterium. RNAcentral's name for it is "bacterial SSU rRNA". It matches the Rfam family "Bacterial small subunit ribosomal RNA", at positions 186 to 847 of the family's 1533-position model. The record is from RNAcentral.
CCGCAUGGGGAUAUUUGCUAAAGAUUCAUCGCUGAUAGAUAGGCAUGCGUUCCAUUAGGCAGUUGGCGGGGUAACGGCCCACCAAACCGACGAUGGAUAGGGGUUCUGAGAGGAAGGUCCCCCACAUUGGUACUGAGACACGGACCAAACUCCUACGGGAGGCAGCAGUGAGGAAUAUUGGUCAAUGGGCGUAAGCCUGAACCAGCCAAGUCGCGUGAGGGAUGAAGGUUCUAUGGAUCGUAAACCUCUUUUAUAAGGGAAUAAAGUGCGGGACGUGUCCCGUUUUGUAUGUACCUUAUGAAUAAGGAUCGGCUAACUCCGUGCCAGCAGCCGCGGUAAUACGGAGGAUCCGAGCGUUAUCCGGAUUUAUUGGGUUUAAAGGGUGCGUAGGCGGCCUUUUAAGUCAGCGGUGAAAGUCUGUGGCUCAACCAUAGAAUUGCCGUUGAAACUGGGAGGCUUGAGUAUGUUUGAGGCAGGCGGAAUGCGUGGUGUAGCGGUGAAAUGCUUAGAUAUCACGCAGAACCCCGAUUGCGAAGGCAGCCUGCCAAGCCAUGACUGACGCUGAUGCACGAAAGCGUGGGGAUCAAACAGGAUUAGAUACCCUGGUAGUCCACGCAGUAAACAAUGAUCACUAGCUGUUUGCGAUACAGUGUAAGCGGC